RNAcentral lists this ribosomal RNA (449 nucleotides) under uncultured bacterium. RNAcentral's name for it is "partial 16S ribosomal RNA". It matches the Rfam family "Bacterial small subunit ribosomal RNA", at positions 328 to 793 of the family's 1533-position model. The record is from RNAcentral.
UUGCCAGACUCCUACGGGAGGCAGCAGUGGGGGAUAUUGCACAAUGGGGGGAACCCUGAUGCAGCGACGCCGCGUGGGUGAAGGAGCGUUUCGGCGCGUAAAGCCCUAUCGGCAGGGAAGAAGGAGGACGGUACCUGACUAAGAAGCCCCGGCUAACUACGUGCCAGCAGCCGCGGUAAUACGUAGGGGGCAAGCGUUAUCCGGAUUUACUGGGUGUAAAGGGGGCGCAGACGGCAGCGCAAGCCAGGAGUGAAAGCCCGGGGCCCAACCCCGGGACUGCUCUUGGAACUGCGCGGCUGGAGUGCAGGAGGGGCAGGCGGAAUUCCUGGUGUAGGAGUGAAAUCCGUAGAUAUCUGGAGGAACAUCAGUGGCGAAGGCGACUAUCUGGCACAUAACUGACGCUGAGGAGCGAAAGCGUGGGUAGCAAACAGGAUUAGAUACCCUGGUAC